This 504-nucleotide ribosomal RNA is filed under the name uncultured bacterium. Its description in RNAcentral is "partial 16S ribosomal RNA". It matches the Rfam family "Bacterial small subunit ribosomal RNA", at positions 29 to 523 of the family's 1533-position model. The record is from RNAcentral.
AUUGAACGCUGGCGGCAGGCCUAACACAUGCAAGUCGAGCGGUAGCACAGAGAGCUUGCUCUCGGGUGACGAGCGGCGGACGGGUGAGUAAUGUCUGGGAAACUGCCUGAUGGAGGGGGAUAACUACUGGAAACGGUAGCUAAUACCGCAUAAUGUCGCAAGACCAAAGUGGGGGACCUUCGUGCCUCAUGCCAUCAGAUGUGCCCAGAUGGGAUUAGCUAGUAGGGGGGGUAAUGGCUCACCUAGGCGACGAUCCCUAGCCGGUCUGAGAGGGUGACUAGCCUCACUGGGACGGAGACACGGUCCAGACUCCUACGGGAGGCAGCAGUGGGGAAUAUUGCACAUUGGGCGCAAGCCUGAUGCAGCCAUGCCGCGUGUGUGAAGAAGGCCUUCGGGUCGUAAAGCACUUUCAGCGGGGAGGAAGGCGGUGAGGUUAAUAACCUCAUCGAUUGACGUUACCCGCAGAAGAAGCACCGGCUAACUCCGUGCCAGCCGCCGCCGUAA